AUUGAACGCUGGCGGCAUGCCUUACACAUGCAAGUCGAACGGCAGCACGGGUGCUUGCACCUGGUGGCGAGUGGCGAACGGGUGAGUAAUACAUCGGAACGUACCUUAUCGUGGGGGAUAACGCAGCGAAAGCUGUGCUAAUACCGCAUACGCCCUGAGGGGGAAAGCGGGGGAUCGAAAGACCUCGCGCGAUUAGAGCGGCCGAUGCCUGAUUAGCUUGUUGGUGGGGUAAAAGCCCACCAAGGCGACGAUCAGUAGCUGGUCUGAGAGGACGAUCAGCCACACUGGGACUGAGACACGGCCAAGACUCCUACGGGUGGCAGCAGUGGGGAAUUUUGGACAAUGGGGGCAACCCUGAUCCAGCAAUGCCGCGUGAGUGAAGAAGGCCUUCGGGUUGUAAAGCUCUUUUGUCAGGGAAGAAACACCGGCUCUAACACAGUCCGGGAAUGACGGUACCUGAAGAAUAAGCACCGGCUAACUACGUGCCAGCCGCCACCGUAA
Molecule: ribosomal RNA, 501 nt
Filed under: uncultured bacterium
Lineage: Bacteria
Description: partial 16S ribosomal RNA
Rfam family: Bacterial small subunit ribosomal RNA
Source: RNAcentral